UGCAAGUCGAGCGAAUGGAUUAAGAGCUUGCUCUUAUGAAGUUAGCGGCGGACGGGUGAGUAACACGUGGGUAACCUGCCCAUAAGACUGGGAUAACUCCGGGAAACCGGGGCUAAUACCGGAUAACAUUUUGAACCGCAUGGUUCGAAAUUGAAAGGCGGCUUCGGCUGUCACUUAUGGAUGGACCCGCGUCGCAUUAGCUAGUUGGUGAGGUAACGGCUCACCAAGGCAACGAUGCGUAGCCGACCUGAGAGGGUGAUCGGCCACACUGGGACUGAGACACGGCCCAGACUCCUACGGGAGGCAGCAGUAGGGAAUCUUCCGCAAUGGACGAAAGUCUGACGGAGCAACGCCGCGUGAGUGAUGAAGGCUUUCGGGUCGUAAAACUCUGUUGUUAGGGAAGAACAAGUGCUAGUUGAAUAAGCUGGCACCUUGACGGUACCUAACCAGAAAGCCACGGCUAACUACGUGCCAGCAGCCGCGGAAAUACGUAGGUGGCAAGCGUUAUCCGGAAUUAUUGGGCGUAAAGCGCGCGCAGGUGGUUUCUUAAGUCUGAUGUGAAAGCCCACGGCUCAACCGUGGAGGGUCAUUGGAAACUGCGAGACUUGAGUGCAAAAGA
This 619-nucleotide ribosomal RNA is filed under the name Bacillus paramycoides. RNAcentral describes it as "bacterial SSU rRNA". It matches the Rfam family "Bacterial small subunit ribosomal RNA", at positions 56 to 655 of the family's 1533-position model. Lineage: Bacteria; Bacillati; Bacillota; Bacilli; Caryophanales; Bacillaceae. The record is from RNAcentral.